CUACGGGUGGCUGCAGCUAAGAAUCUUCCGCAAUGGGCGAAAGCCUGACGGAGCGACGCCGCGUGAACGAAGAAGGCCGAGAGGUUGUAAAGUUCUUUUCUCUGGGAGGAAUAAGCAUGGCAGGGAAUGGCCGUGUGAUGACGUUAACAGAGGAAUAAGCCCCGGCUAAUUACGUGCCAGCAGCCGCGGUAACACGUAAGGGGCGAGCGUUGUUCGGAAUCAUUGGGCGUAAAGGGUGCGCAGGCGGUUAUUCAAGCUUGAUGUAAAAGAUCCCGGCUUAACUGGGGGAAUGCGUUGAGAACUGGAUGACUGGAGUAUAAGAGGGGAAGUUGGAAUUCCAGGUGUAGGGGUGAAAUCUGUAGAUAUCUGGAAGAACACCGGUGGCGAAGGCGAACUUCUGGCUAUAUACUGACGCUGAGGCACGAAAGCGUGGGGAGCGAACAGGAUUAGAUACCCCAGUAGUC
This 464-nucleotide ribosomal RNA is filed under the name uncultured bacterium. RNAcentral's name for it is "partial 16S ribosomal RNA". It matches the Rfam family "Bacterial small subunit ribosomal RNA", at positions 339 to 795 of the family's 1533-position model. The record is from RNAcentral.